CCAGACCUAGAGAAUCAAGACAUAAUGGGAGCAUUUUUAGACAAACCAAAGAUGGAAAAACAUAAUGCCCAGGGGCAGGGUAAUGGGUUGCGAUAUGGGCUAAGCAGCAUGCAAGCCUGGCGAGUUGAAAUGGAGGAUGCACAUACUGCUGUGAUCGGUUUGCCAAGUGGACUUGAAACAUGGUCAUUCUUUGCUGUGUAUGAUGGGCAUGCUGGUUCUCAGGUUGCCAAAUACUGCUGUGAGCAUUUGUUAGAUCACAUCACCAAUAACCAGGAUUUUAAAGGGUCUGCAGGAGCACCUUCUGUGGAAAAUGUAAAGAAUGGAAUCAGAACAGGUUUCCUGGAGAUUGAUGAACAUAUGAGAGUUAUGUCAGAGAAGAAACAUGGUGCUGAUAGAAGUGGGUCAACAGCUGUGGGUGUCUUAAUUUCUCCUCAACAUACUUACUUCAUUAACUGUGGAGACUCAAGAGGUUUACUUUGUAGGAACAGGAAAGUUUACUUCUUCACACAAGAUCACAAACCAAGUAAUCUGCUGGAAAAAGAACGAAUUCAGAAUGCAGGUGGUUCUGUAAUGAUUCAGCGUGUGAAUGGCUCUCUGGCUGUGUCGAGGGCCCUUGGGGACUUUGAUUACAAAUGUGUCCAUGGAAAAGGUCCUACAGAGCAGCUUGUUUCACCAGAGCCUGAAGUCCAUGAUAUUGAAAGAUCUGAAGAAGAUGAUCAAUUCAUUAUUCUUGCAUAUGAUGGUAGUUGGGAUGUCAGCUCUGUGAUUUUGUAAGAUCCAGACUUGAGGUCACUGAUGACCUUGAGAAAGUUUGCAAUGAAGUAGUCGACACCUGUUUGUAUAAGGGAAGUCGAGACAACAUGAGUGUGAUAUUGAUCUGUUUUCCAAAUGCACCCAAAGUAUCACCAGAAGCAGUGAAGAAGGAGGAAGAGUUGGACAAAUACCUGGAAAGCAGAGUAGAAGAAAUCAUAAAGAAGCAGGGGGAAGGCGUCCCUGACUUAGUCCAUGUGAUGUGCACAUUAGUGAGUGAGAACAUACCCAGCCUCCCACCAGGGGGUGAACUGGCGAGCAAGCGGAAUGUAAUUGAAGCCAUUUACAAUAGACUGAAUCUGUACAAAAAUGAUGACACCGACUCUACAUCAACUGAUGAUAUGUGGUAAAACUGCUCAUCUAGUCAUGGAUUUACCUUCACCUCCAAAGGAGAGUACAGCUCAACUUCACUGAACCUUUUAAACAUCCAUCCUCAACUUUUAAGAAGGGCAUAUAUGACAUGGGUGAGAGUGAUUACACCAGAGAACUUCAGCAGUACAACAGCUAGCCCACAACUGAUUUUUUUUGUUGGUGUAAAUUUGAGACUCAUGUAAAUGUGAUUUCAAACCAUAAUUCAUAUGUUGUAAAUCAGACUCCAGCAAUUUUUGUUGUAUGAUUUUGUUUUUUGUAAAGUAUAAUUGUCCUUGUAAAAAAUGCUCAUAUUUAAUUAUGAACUGCUUUAAAUCACUAUCGAAGUUACAAGAAGUAUUUGGCUUACUGUGUGAUACAACAGAUAUAUAGCCCUUUCAAGUCAUGUUGUGUUUGGACUUGGGGUUGGGACAGGAAGAGCAGCAGCCAUGUCAGCUAGACACUCACAUGUGCACCUGAUUAUGCAGAAUUAUUCCGAAGUAUUAUUACAAAGCUGAAUAUCCAGGGAGUUAAUUGAAAACUAUUUUAAUGUUCUUGGCAGUGGGAUUGGAAUUGUUGAUAAAGUUGGUCCCUUCAUUUAACUGUCUUUUAGGUUCUUUCCUUGUUGCCAUGAGUAUUGCAGGUAAUAGAAUAUAUUCAUAAAAAUAUCAAUCUUGGGGCUAAAAUGCCUUGAUUCUUUGCACCUCUUUUACAAGUCCGUACAUUUAAUUACUAAUUGAUAAGCAGUAGCUUCCUACAAAUGGUAGGACACUGCCACGUCUUUGCUAUCAUGAUUGGCUGGGCCUGCUGCUGUUCCUAGUAAGAUAUUCUGAAUUCCAUUUUAUCAAUAAAGCUUGAUUUAACAAACAAGAAAAAAAAA
Molecule: non-coding RNA, 2038 nt
Organism: Odocoileus virginianus texanus
Lineage: Eukaryota; Metazoa; Chordata; Mammalia; Artiodactyla; Cervidae
Source: RefSeq, a predicted model, not a curated record